GACAGAGGGUGCAAACGUUGUUCGGAAUUACUGGGCGUAAAGCGCGUGUAGGCAGCCUCGCAAGUCGAACGUGAAAUCCCCGGGCUCAACCCGGGAACUGCGUCCGAUACUGGGAGGCUUGAAUCCGGGAGAGGGAUGUGGAAUUCCAGGUGUAGCGGUGAAAUGCGUAGAUAUCUGGAGGAACACCGGUGGCGAAGGCGGCAUCCUGGACCGGUAUUGACGCUGAGGCGCGAAAGCUAGGGGAGCAAACGGG
Molecule: ribosomal RNA, 253 nt
Filed under: uncultured bacterium
Lineage: Bacteria
Description: partial 16S ribosomal RNA
Rfam family: Bacterial small subunit ribosomal RNA
Source: RNAcentral